Schizophyllum amplum is the source of this 93-nucleotide non-coding RNA. NCBI's taxonomy places the organism in Eukaryota, Fungi, Basidiomycota, Agaricomycetes, Agaricales, Schizophyllaceae. The record is from the annotation of a GenBank genome assembly.
GGCGAGAUGGCCGAGCGGUCUAAGGCGCUAGAAUCAGGUGUAAGUCACGUGAUCUAGUCUUUCGAGGCGGGGGUUCGAAUCCCCCUCUCGUCA